This 617-nucleotide ribosomal RNA is filed under the name uncultured Clostridium sp. RNAcentral describes it as "bacterial SSU rRNA". It matches the Rfam family "Bacterial small subunit ribosomal RNA", at positions 59 to 704 of the family's 1533-position model. Lineage: Bacteria; Bacillati; Bacillota; Clostridia; Eubacteriales; Clostridiaceae. The record is from RNAcentral.
AAGUCGAGCGAUCUUCUUCGGAAGAGAGCGGCGGACGGGUGAGUAACGCGUGGGUAACCUGCCCUGUACACACGGAUAACAUACCGAAAGGUAUGCUAAUACGGGAUAACAUAAGAAAGUCGCAUGGCUUUCUUAUCAAAGCUUUUGCGGUACAGGAUGGACCCGCGUCUGAUUAGCUAGUUGGUAAGGUAACGGCUUACCAAGGCGACGAUCAGUAGCCGACCUGAGAGGGUGAUCGGCCACAUUGGAACUGAGACACGGUCCAAACUCCUACGGGAGGCAGCAGUGGGGAAUAUUGCACAAUGGGCGAAAGCCUGAUGCAGCAACGCCGCGUGAGCGAUGAAGGCCUUCGGGUCGUAAAGCUCUGUCCUCAAGGAAGAUAAUGACGGUACUUGAGGAGGAAGCCCCGGCUAACUACGUGCCAGCAGCCGCGGUAAUACGUAGGGGGCUAGCGUUAUCCGGAAUUACUGGGCGUAAAGGGUGCGUAGGCGGUCUUUCAAGUCAGAAGUGAAAGGCUACGGCUCAACCGUAGUAAGCUUUUGAAACUGUAAGACUUGAGUGCAGGAGAGGAGAGUGGAAUUCCUAGUGUAGCGGUGAAAUGCGUAGAUAUUAGGAGG